This 1056-nucleotide long non-coding RNA is filed under the name Corvus moneduloides (New Caledonian crow). RNAcentral's name for it is "lncRNA (ENSCMUG00000017003.1)". The record is from RNAcentral. Lineage: Eukaryota; Metazoa; Chordata; Aves; Passeriformes; Corvidae.
CAAGGAGCCGGAGGGGCGGGGCUCGAGGCGGCCCGAGGCACGCGCGCGGCUCCGAGGGGCAGUUCCGGAGUGGGGAGGGGGCUCUGCCGGGAGGCGGCUGCGGAUGGGAUCCAGGCGGGAGGGAAGGGGGCGGAUCGCGUCUCCCUUCCUCCCGAGGAGGCGGUUUAACAUUGCCGCCCCUCCGGAGCGGGAGGAGCUACGGGGGGAGGGUGGGACUCCCAGGAGAAGGAGAGGGGGAGGGACCGAUCCCCUCCGGUAGCGCCCUCCUAACAGGAACUCCGGUGACGGCCUGUCACGGAGCGACAGGAUUGUUAACAGAUGAACUUUGAAAAAAAAAAAUUGCUGUGCUUCCUCUAGAGAUCAGGAUGUCUUGGACAUUUCUGUUUUGGUUAUUUAUCUGGCUAUAACAAAGAGACAAAUGUGAGGAUUCUCUUUAGAAAUGGAUGAGUUGAGGAUAACUGCAGAUUUUAGUCAAUAGGGAAAAGUUGCUGGUGAGUUGGGAAUAUUUUUCUAAGAUCUAUUUUUAUAAAAUAUAUUUUGGCAUGUUUUAUUUGAAGACUGUAAUUUUAAAGCUGUUAAAAUCUGUAAUUCUUAAGUUCAGCACUUAAGCUUGUAUUUCUCUUUAAGCACAUGAAUAACCCCAUUAAAGUGCACAGAGCUAGUCUUGUGCUGAAGCAUUUUGCUGAAUCAUGUCCCUGGAGAAUUUGAUACAUGCAAAGAAAAACAUACCUAAAUAUAUGAGCAUUGUUCCCAGGUUUGGUAGAAAUAUUUCUGCUUUCUAUAUGUACUUCUUAUUAUAAGUUUCCCUUGAAUGCAGUUUGAAUAUAAUUCUGCUGUUCAGCAAUCCAGAUGCAGGAAACAUGCCAUAAAUAUCUUGCCCUUCUCUCCCUCCUUCCCUCCCUCCCCCAAAGUUGCCUUUGGCAAGUGUAUCAUGCUAUAUAUUGAUGUUACUCUUUUAUAAAGAAUUUAUAAAAUUUUGGACAGUAAUAACAUACUUUUGUGCGCUGUUCCAUAAACACAGAGAAAGUGCAAGACCACUUACUCUCUUACUCCAAU